RNAcentral lists this ribosomal RNA (439 nucleotides) under uncultured bacterium. RNAcentral's name for it is "partial 16S ribosomal RNA". It matches the Rfam family "Bacterial small subunit ribosomal RNA", at positions 339 to 795 of the family's 1533-position model. The record is from RNAcentral.
CUACGGGAUGCAGCAGUGGGGAAUAUUGCACAAUGGGGGAAACCCUGAUGCAGCAACGCCGCGUGAGUGAUGACGGUCUUCGGAUUGUAAAGCUCUGUCUUCAGGGACGAUAAUGACGGUACCUGAGGAGGAAGCCACGGCUAACUACGUGCCAGCAGCCGCGGUAAUACGUAGGUGGCAAGCGUUGUCCGGAUUUACUGGGCGUAAAGAGAGCGUAGGCGGACUUUUAAGUGGGAUGUGAAAUACCCGGGCUUAACCUGGGUGCUGCAUUCCAAACUGGAAGUCUAGAGUACAGGAGGGGAAAGCGGAAUUCCUAGUGUAGCGGUGAAAUGCGUAGAGAUUAGGAAGAACACCGGUGGCGAAGGCGGCUUUCUGGACUGUAACUGACGCUGAGGCUCGAAAGCGUGGGGAGCGAACAGGAUUAGAUACACGGGUAGUC